GGAGCUUGCUCCCAAAGAUUAGCGGCGGACGGGUGAGUAACACGUGGGUAACCUGCCUGUAAGAUUGGGAUAACUCCGGGAAACCGGAGCUAAUACCGGAUAAUAUUUUGAACCGCAUGGUUCAAAAUUGAAAGACGGCUUUUACCUGUCACUUACAGAUGGACCCGCGGCGCAUUACCUAGUUGGUGAGGUAACGGCUCACCAAGGCAACGAUGCGUACCCAACCUGAAAGGGUGAUCGGCCACACUGGGACUGAAACACGGCCCAAACUCCUACGGGAGGCAGCAGUAGGGAAUCUUCCGCAAUGGACAAAAGUCUGACGGAGCAACGCCGCGUGAACGAUGAAGGCCUUCGGGUCGUAAAGUUCUGUUGUUAGGGAAAAACAAGUACCAAAGUAACUGCUGGUACCUUGACGGUACCUAACCAAAAAGCCACGGCUAACUACGUGCCACCACCCGCGGUAAUACUUAGGUGGCAAGCGUUGUCCGGAAUUAUUGGGCGUAAAGCGCGCGCAGGCGGUUUCUUAAGUCUGAUGUGAAAGCCCACGGCUCAACCGUGGAGGGUCAUUGGAAACUGGGGAACUUGAGUGCAAAAAAGGAGAGUGAAAUUCCACGUGUAGCGGUGAAUUGCGUAGAGAUGUGAAGGAACACCAUUGGCGAAGGCGACUCUCUGGUCUGUAACUGACGCUGAGGCGCGAAAGCGUGGGGAGCGAACAGGAUUAGAUACC
RNAcentral lists this ribosomal RNA (727 nucleotides) under bacterium EB-121. RNAcentral describes it as "bacterial SSU rRNA". It matches the Rfam family "Bacterial small subunit ribosomal RNA", at positions 75 to 786 of the family's 1533-position model. The record is from RNAcentral.